This 75-nucleotide transfer RNA is filed under the name Mycobacterium phage LolaVinca. RNAcentral's name for it is "tRNA-Arg". It matches the Rfam family "tRNA". From Rfam's summary of the family: Transfer RNA (tRNA) molecules are approximately 80 nucleotides in length. Their secondary structure includes four short double-helical elements and three loops (D, anti-codon, and T loops). Further hydrogen bonds mediate the characteristic L-shaped molecular structure. tRNAs have two regions of fundamental functional importance: the anti-codon, which is responsible for specific mRNA codon recognition, and the 3' end, to which the tRNAs corresponding amino acid is attached (by aminoacyl-tRNA synthetases). tRNAs cope with the degeneracy of the genetic code in two manners: having more than one tRNA (with a specific anti-codon) for a particular amino acid; and 'wobble' base-pairing, i.e. permitting non-standard base-pairing at the 3rd anti-codon position. The record is from RNAcentral. Lineage: Duplodnaviria; Heunggongvirae; Uroviricota; Caudoviricetes.
UGCCUCUGUAGCUCAACGGACAGAGCAACGCGGUCCUAACGCGGUGGCUGGAGGUUCGAAUCCUCUCGGAGGCAC